AACGAACGCUGGCGGCAUGCCUAACACAUGCAAGUCGAACGGGAUCCUGGCUUCGGUCAGGUGAGAGUGGCGGACGGGUGAGUAACGCGUGGGAACCUGCCCAGUGGUGGGGGAUAACUGCGGGAAACUGCAGCUAAUACCGCAUGAGCCCGAGAGGGGAAAGAUUUAUCGCCAUUGGAGGGGCCCGCGUUCGAUUAGGUAGUUGGUGAGGUAACGGCUCACCAAGCCGACGAUCGAUAGCUGGUCUGAGAGGAUGAUCAGCCACACUGGGACUGAGAUACGGCCCAGACUCCUACGGGAGGCAGCAGUGGGGAAUAUUGGACAAUGGGGGCAACCCUGAUCCAGCAAUGCCGCGUGAGUGAUGAAGGCCUUAGGGUUGUAAAGCUCUUUUGCCAGGGAAGAUGAUGACUGUACCUGGAGAAUAAGCCCCGGCUAACUUCGUGCCAGCAGCCGCGGUAAU
Molecule: ribosomal RNA, 460 nt
Filed under: uncultured bacterium
Lineage: Bacteria
Description: bacterial SSU rRNA
Rfam family: Bacterial small subunit ribosomal RNA
Source: RNAcentral